ACUAUCGGUCAGACUCUCCUCUCCAAUACCCUGGCGUAGGCCUUACCAGGGAGGCUGAGGAGUGUGAUCCCCCUGUAGUUGGAACACCACCCCAGUCUUUCAGUUUGAAUUUUCGUCGAAACUCCAUUUCAAAAUGCUGUGCAGAAAUAUUUAUGAUGCAAUAUGCACGGCUGCGGCGGAAUACUUCUAAUCUGUGGAAGCACCUGCAGUGUUUCACCUACCACUAUUCAAGGGGGGCACCCCGCCCUACCAACCAGACCGCCGUGCCCCCAAGAGGAUCACAGCAUGUAGUAAUAGUUUAACAGUUAAUGUCAUUCGUUUUAUUGGAUCACGUCGUGAAGGAUUUCUGUCCCUGUGUUGUCACUACUCUUCUUUCUAUGGCCAAACAUGGCAAAAGCUGGACGAAAACACACUCAUCAUACUCUGUGUCACCAACGGUGACACUGACACACUGAGUUAGGUGCACUCGAACGGAGGUGAACACAUGCUCCUGACAGCGGACAGAAAGCCAUGCCGCUAAAACCUAGAAAGCACGCAAGGAUAUCUGUGGUUUUAAAAAGCGGCAAAUUUAGUUUUGAUGGCAGCACUUCAUCUCCUGCGAGCUAACUCUCCUACUCUUGGUACAUUUGGCGAAGAUAGAAGUAAACAAAAUAGACCAAGUGAUUCAUGCCCUGACUCUGACACACAGCUAAAGUCCAGUCUCCACCAAAUAAAAGUUUUUUACCUAGUUUCAAACCAUUAAAAUGAAUUUAAUGGUUUGAAACUGAAUUCCUUGGCUUUUAAACUGAAUUUGUUUGCUUUGAAAAUUGCUUUGCUAUGUAUUGAAAAUUCCAUUUGAUAACUUUCAUUUUCUAUUCCAAAAUUCAAUUCCAGUUCCAAAAUUCCGUUUUUUGUGUCACACAUCAAAGUCCUUGAAACCACAGAUUAAUUAAACACAGAAUUACUGAUUCACGGAUGUCAUUCACUAUUGCUGUGUUCAAAUUCAGAUGCGACUUUUAUGGCCAUACAGUGAAGUAAAAACGAAUGCUGUCAGAGAGGUGCUGAUUAUAUUGGUUCAGACACUUUUGGUUUGUUUUACAAGCCCUGCUACUGCAACACAUUGAGGGGCAGAGAAGAAAGAGUGCUUGGAGACCAGCUGCUUUACACCAGCUCUCGCCUCCGUAGUGGGAUCCUAUUCACGUGAUAGAAGAUACACUCUGCCUAGGGAUUUUGUCUUUAACUGUCUCUUUCAAGGAUAAUGCCAGUGAGCUAUUGCUGCAGGUAUUUACUCUUAAUUUUCUUAUCCCAUUGAUACUACUACUGGCUCAGUGCUUUCUUGUUUUAUUGUGUUUCUUAGAUGGAACUACUAAUGGUAUUAGUGAUGUCACUAACGGUGUGUGCUGUAUUCUUUCCCAAAUAAACUACUCCUGGACUGGUGCUUCUGUGUUUUUUUUUUCUGUUUACUUUCUGCCCUCUAAAGCUAGCCAAUCACAGCAGAUGGCCACUUAUACUGAGCAUGGUUCUACUAGAGGUUUUUCUUGUUAAUAUGGAGUCCUUACUUACCACUGUAGCUACAUGCUUAGAACUCUCUGUUUUAUCAUCUGCCUUGAGAUGACAUUUGCUCUGAACUGGUGCUAUAUUCCUAAAAUUAAUAAAAUUGAAUUGAAUUGAAAUCUAACCUUAAUCGUAAAAAAGUUAGACCACUGAUUUUACUAAACAAAUAUUAAUUUAAAGUGAAAAAGUUUGAAAAAUAACAUACACCAUAAUUACUAGAUAUGUACAAAAUAUGAAAAACCUUAGAACUUAAAAGUUUGAGAGGGAAGAAUUAAGCCAUGUGUGGGUUGCUGUUUUGUUUUUAAAAUCCCAGUGUGUUAUGUAAAAGUACUGCAUGUGCAUUCUAAUAUAUCUGCUUAGCAAUUUAGUGUAUGCUAAAUAGUUGUGUAAAGAAAUUGUAAUAGCAUUAAAAAAAUACUAAUACCUCAACUGACUCUCACAGUCAAUUGAGUUAUUGUAAAUCAAGUUUAAAAACAAGAAUAAACUCUAGAAAUCUGUUUAUUGCAUUUACUUAGCAGAAUGCACACAAAAGCAUGGAUCCAAAAUAUUAUGCACUCUAUGAAAUAUAAUCAAUUGUAUACAACUUUCUAAAUGCACAGAAGUUGUUUUGACAAUAGAUGACACUACAAAGUGACUGCAACAUGACCAAAGUUGGUGUCUAUACAAAACAAAGUUUCAAAAUGAAAUUAAAUAUAGAGGAUUACUUACUGUAAAGAUGUAAAAAUGACAGGAAUAAGAAACCAGUUUAAAAUACACAAAGUAAAUAAAUGUUUAUUGUCAGUGACAUAGAAAUUUAGCAGAUACAAUUUUUCUUAAAUGAAGCGACAGCAAUCAGUACACACAGCAUUUCAAAGAAUUUCCAAAACGAUUGUCGUUGCAAUUAUACUAUGUACAAGAAUGCGAAUCUUCAGAAUGUUGUCAAAAUUAUACUGCAAAAACAGAAUUCUGCACUGAGUACUAUUGAAGCAUAGAAAAAAACAUCCUUGUACUGAUACAAAACUGAUAACUGAUUAAAAUUGUGCUUGAGUGUAUAAAAAGAAUUUGUCUACAAAACAACUAUAAUGUUUUUUCUUUUCAAUAGACCCUGGUUACGACUAUGCAACAACCAUUCAAUAAUAAUAAAACAAAAACAUUUAAAAGAAUAAAGUAACUUGUAAUGACCUCUGCUUUUGUGUGAUGCAAUAGAUUAAUAAAUCUGGACUAUGUACAAAACAAUAUUCAUUAUUAAUAGUAUACAUUUAUCUUAUUUACAGUUUGAAGAAUUUUUUAACAAUCUGAUGCACUCCAAUUUCAUUUUCUUUAAAAAAGUCAUUUAUAGUUAAACAGAGAUUACCAUGCAUAUUCUAUUAAAUUUAAUAGAGCCAUAGUUUGAAAUGUAUACUGCUUUAGGAGAUUGUGUUUGAGUGCAUAUUAGAGGGUUUAAAUGAUCUUACUAUUACUUUUUUGGUGAUAGCUCAAGUCUUGGAAACCUGAAACCACCUUUUUGAUCCACUGUCAAUGCUUGAGGAUGAC
This is a long non-coding RNA of Girardinichthys multiradiatus, 3045 nucleotides long. RefSeq lists it as uncharacterized. The record is from RefSeq and is a predicted model, not a curated record. The transcript is spliced from 2 exons. Lineage: Eukaryota; Metazoa; Chordata; Actinopteri; Cyprinodontiformes; Goodeidae.